GACUAACGCUGGCGGCGUGCUUAAUACAUGCAAGUCGAGCGGACAUAUCCUUUCGGGGAUAUGUUAGCGGCGGACGGGUGAGUAACGCGUGAGCAAUCUGCCUCUUACAGCGGAAUAACAGUUAGAAAUAAUUGCUAAUGCCGCAUAAGACCACGGAUGGGCAUCUAUCUGAGGUAAAAGGGUUACCGGUAAGAGAUGAGCUCGCGUUUCAUUAGCUAGUUGGUGGGGUAACGGCCUACCAAGGCGACGAUGAAUAGCCGGCCUAAGAGGGUGAACGGCCACACUGGAACUGAGACACGGUCCAGACUCCUACGGGAGGCAGCAGUAGGGAAUAUUGGGCAGUGGAGGAAACUCUGACCCAGCCAUGCCGCAUGAGUGAAGAAGGCCUUUGGGUUGUAAAGCUCUUUUAGUGAGGAAGAUAAUGACGGU
Molecule: ribosomal RNA, 429 nt
Filed under: uncultured bacterium
Lineage: Bacteria
Description: bacterial SSU rRNA
Rfam family: Bacterial small subunit ribosomal RNA
Source: RNAcentral